GACCAUCUCACAUUGAAACACUAGUUCCCUUACAAUCACUGAAGUUAAGCAACAUUGAGCCUGGUCAGUACCUAGAUGGGUGACCACUUGGUAAUAUCAGUGGCUGUAAG
Acanthosepion pharaonis is the source of this 110-nucleotide non-coding RNA. The record is from the annotation of a GenBank genome assembly. NCBI's taxonomy places the organism in Eukaryota, Metazoa, Mollusca, Cephalopoda, Sepiida, Sepiidae.